GACUAAGAUAAGCCUUUAUGCCAACACGCAGUUGUUGACGCAAAGUGAUUUCUGCCCAGUGCUCUGAAUGUCAAAGUGAAGAAAUUUAAUGAAGUGGGGGAAAAUGGUGGGAGUAACUAUGACUCUCUUAAGGUAGCCAAAUGCCUCAUCAUCUAAUUAGUGAUGCGCAUGAAUGGAUGAAC
This 182-nucleotide non-coding RNA is filed under the name Meleagris gallopavo (turkey). RNAcentral describes it as "Eukaryotic large subunit ribosomal RNA". It matches the Rfam family "Eukaryotic large subunit ribosomal RNA", at positions 2144 to 2328 of the family's 3401-position model. Lineage: Eukaryota; Metazoa; Chordata; Aves; Galliformes; Phasianidae. The record is from Rfam by way of RNAcentral.